CCUACGGGAGGCAGCAGUGGGGAAUAUUGGGCAAUGGGCGCAAGCCUGACCCAGCAACGCCGCGUGAAGGAAGAAGGCUUUCGGGUUGUAAACUUCUUUUAUCAGGGACGAAGCAAGUGACGGUACCUGAUGAAUAAGCCACGGCUAACUACGUGCCAGCAGCCGCGGUAAUACGGAGGUGGCAAGCGUUAUCCGGAUUUACUGGGUGUAAAGGGCGUGUAGGCGGGAGUGCAAGUCAGAUGUGAAAGCUAUGGGCUCAACCCAUAGCCUGCAUUUGAAACUGUACUUCUUGAGUGCUGGAGAGGCAAGCGGAAUGCCGUGUGUAGCGGUGAAAUGCGUAGAUAUACGGAGGAACACC
This 358-nucleotide ribosomal RNA is filed under the name uncultured bacterium. Its description in RNAcentral is "partial 16S ribosomal RNA". It matches the Rfam family "Bacterial small subunit ribosomal RNA", at positions 338 to 710 of the family's 1533-position model. The record is from RNAcentral.